UUACCCAGGCUUAAAUUGCAGUGGAAUAUGGAUGAAAGUUCAUAGCCUUCGGGCCGCUGUGAAGGUGCUGCAUGGUUGUCGUCAGCUCGUGCCGUGAGGUGUCGGCUUAAGUGCCAUAACGAGCGCAACCCUUAUCUUUAGUUACUAACAGGUGAUGCUGAGGACUCUAAAGAGACUGCCGUCGUAAGAUGCGAGGAAGGUGGGGAUGACGUCAAAUCAGCACGGCCCUUACGUCUGGGGCUACACACGUGUUACAAUGGGGGGUACAGAAGGCAGCUACACAGCGAUGUGAUGCUAAUCCCAAAAGCCUCUCUCAGUUCGGAUCGAAGUCUGCAACCCGACUUCGUGAAGCUGGAUUCGCUAGUAAUCGCGCAUCAGCCACGGCGCGGUGAAUACGUUCCCGGGCCUUGUACACACCGCCCGUCAAGCCAUGGGAGCCGGGGGUACCUGAAGUACGUAACCGCAAGGAGCGUCCUAGGGUAAAACUGGUGACUGGGGCU
RNAcentral lists this ribosomal RNA (500 nucleotides) under uncultured bacterium. RNAcentral's name for it is "bacterial SSU rRNA". It matches the Rfam family "Bacterial small subunit ribosomal RNA", at positions 971 to 1482 of the family's 1533-position model. The record is from RNAcentral.